Molecule: long non-coding RNA, 21593 nt
Filed under: Brassica rapa (field mustard)
Lineage: Eukaryota; Viridiplantae; Streptophyta; Magnoliopsida; Brassicales; Brassicaceae
Description: long non-coding RNA (BRAP_LNC008971)
Source: RNAcentral
AAUCCAGCCAUUGUCAACAACGGAGAUCCCGCUGCAGAUAUCGGUUUUCGCUCCAGGUAUCUACAAUCUCUCUUCGUAUAAACUUACCUGGGAGCUUUCCGGGCGUGAAGAUGCAUCAUCAGGGACAUGCCAAGGCUAUCCUUAUUACCUUACUGUUCUUCAGUCUCAGUGAACUUUCAUAGCUCUCUCUCUCUGUAUUCUGUGUAUCCAUUUUGAUGGUUUACGUCUGAGUUUUCAAUUUUGAUUGUAGCAAAUUGUUGUCAAGAAAUGUUUUUUCGGUAGGAGAAAGAUUAAUUUUACAUUACACCAAAAUUUGAAAAAGGUGGAUCUCAGCUUUACUUUUGUUUGUGGAAUAAAAGGAUUAUAGAUAUUAUCAUUUUAUUUACUUCCAAUCAUUUAUACCUUCUGUUUGAUUCCAAUAAUAUUAAUAUGAAAUUAUUAAUAUUCAGUAAAAAAAUGGGUUCCUCGACAUUCUCAAGUUCAAUAUGACAGACGGGAGAAAAUAAAAUUAGCAUCUCUCAAAUAUAAACUGGUGAUGAUCAUGGUGGCACCAAUAUAUACAUACAUACAAGUUAUAUAUAUAAGGGUAAAAUAAAUGACCUCCAGCUACUUGGAUGGUUAGCUACAACACCACUGACACUAUUAUCGCUACUACAUUGCCUUGUAAAAGGGAAAAUGUAUAUAACUUCAGAGAAUGAAAAUCAUUUAGGAUGAUAUUUUCUGGCUGGACCAAACUCUACCUAUCUGCAACUAUAAGACUCCUCUCCGUCUAGAAGAUGGAUUUGGUGAGUCUUGGUCGCGGUUUUAUGGUGAUGCUUUCAUAUGGCUUAGCUUGUUCAACUUGGAUAUAAUCUCUUGUUUUCAAAACCUGCAACAUUGGCAAAUAAUAAAAGACAGAUUCAACAAGAUGAUCAAGUUUAUGAAGACCAAACUUGUUCUUCCGUCUUAAAAAGACAAGUUGUGAUUGAUGCACUAAAGCCGAGAGUACACACCUAACUUAGACAUGCUUACACCUAAACAUCCUAACAAUCCAGUAGGAAAACAGACAAAUUAAUCUGGAGUUGCAGCAUAAAACCAAAACAUGUAAGAUUCUAUGUGUAUUUAUCAAUUACUGGUCAAGUUUGUUUUCUCGAGAGAAAGAUCAGAGCUUUUUUUUUUUUUGUUUAGGGUCGUAUUAUGAACAUACCAGGGUUUCAAAAAACAUUCUCGAUGCUUCUUUACGGGUUUUCCCAGCUAAAAGUUUGUCCGCUACAACAACACUCUUCCCAUUCUCAGCUUCUUUAUCAAAUAUUGUCUGGAGAUACUUCGCCACAGCCCUAUAAUAAAAGAGAAUAAUAGUCUUCAGUGUUUCAGGCUCAUCAUGUUUCUUACAUGAUAGUCUGUGCAAAAAAAUGAUUCUGUACGGACCUGGUACGAGAAGACCAACCACUGUUCUCUAGAAGACGAGUUUCAUCACCUUCUUGCAUACCAUCGUCUUCUUCAUGAUCUUCAUCAUCAUCCACAUUCAAAAAUCCUGAAAACACAGAGUGAAAUCAAUUAUAAGUAGAACCACUGAGACAUCAUGGAUAUAACAGCAUCUCACAAAUCUAAAUCAUGCUAUGAUGACCAAGUAUUAGUCCCAUUGCUUAAACUGAGAACGUACAGAUAAUUUGUACAAUUAAAAUUCGUAAAAGGUUUAGAACCUGUGUCAUGUGCCACUUCCAUUGUAUCCAUUUCCUAAAGCAUAAGAGAAUAACACAAGAAGAACUUAAGAGGCAUGUCUUUACUUGAAUAAGGAUAUGAAACCACAAUGAAACAAAACUUACGUCGUUAUCUCUCAUAAAACCAUCGCGAGAAGUAGGAUCUUCAUCUGGUGCACUUUGCAUAUUAGUAGCCUCCUCAUUAAACACAUCAUUAUGCGGUUCGUAGUUGUUAUCAGGCUCUGUCUCUGGAUUCACCCCAUCAUAUUUUGCUUCCACAAUUGGUUCGUUGAGACUUUCCAAAGCCAAAUCACCAGCUUCUACGUGUCCAUUUUCAAUAUAGCCAAUUGUGAUAUCACAUUGAGUCUGGUUGUCUACACCAAUCUCGCAGACUUCAGCUGAUGCAUCCGUCUUCUUAUCAUGUGGAAGCUCAUCUUCAACCUUCAAGUCUGUCUCAUUGAGAAUGGCGUUGUGAUCAACAUCACCUUCAGUAAUUUCGAUAACACAAACAUCUUCACCGCCUACACCUCCAUCAUGGUAUCCUUCCACCUGUAAAUCCUCUAUUCCCUCUACAUGAUCGACUUUGUCCUCGGCUGGCAUUUGACCGAUCUCGUCAUUCACUACAAGACUUACUUCAUCAGCAGCAGCUCCAUCGCCUUCUUUUGGAACUUCUAACUCACAUGCUGUUUCACCAAGCUCGUUAUCGUCUUUCACUUCUUCUUCUUCCUGUUGGUCUAUGUUUUGUUGGUCCUCUGGGUGAGUAAGAGCCUCAGCAGGUUGCUCUUCAGAACCAUCAGGGCGAGUUUGAGGAGCAGAACAUUCAUUAUCUUCCACCGCUCCAACAGAAGCAUGACGGUCAUCAUUCUCAAUUAUCGUGAUUCCUAGUGAUCUAAAAGAAGUGAUUCUUAAAAUUUAGCAAGAAAUGAGUAUUGUAAUAGCUAAGACAUUGCCGUGACAGAAUACUGUGCAUUGAUUGUGCAUAUCAAUCAUCCUAGCGAAUACUCAUCUCAUGUCCGAUUCGAAUAGACACUUCUGGAUCAUUUGAUUCACUUUCCUAUUGCUAUAUGACUUCCCUCGUAUCCUUCUUUGUUUGAAUAGCCAAAAAAACAUCUUACGAUUAGUUAUUUUUCCUUCUUUUCCUAUUUUUCUUUCACUGCAAAAUUGAGCUCCUAUUUACCGAUGUUGGUGACUCAUUCAGUUUUAGCACCCUCUACACGAAAGUCAGUGUCACAGGUGUUCUUAUGGAUUCUGGAGCUAUACCGAUUUUAUUAGUUACCUGGUGAGAGCCAUGUUCAAGUGAUGAAAUCGUUCUACGAUUUUGUCAAAAGCCAGUAAGGAAUUUCUUAGACUCUUUUUUUUUUGUGAACUUUCUUAUGCCUGUGUCAACAUUUGAUUUUUGAUUAUUUAUUCUGAUUAUUUAUUUCUGAUGAUAGGGUGAGGAUUGGGGUUCAGGGGUACAACAUGUCGUCGCUUCAGCCCCUUGACCUCGUUAGAUCAUUGUCUAAGCUGUCUGGGUCAUGUGGAUAAAUUUUAAAAGUGCAAGUUCCGAGAGUUCGCAAUGCAAUUAGCGGCGGCUUUACCGUUUUUGUUCUCCGCGGAGAAGCUGCAGAAGAAAAAGCAUUGGCACUUGAUGGAACCGAUAUGGAGGAUGGAUCUUAUCUGCUACAGUUUUACCGCCAGAACUCAGCAAGCUUAGUUCUGGUUUGAGUACUGCUGAGUUGGCUGCUAGGCAUGUUGCCCAUUUCCAAAGAAAAAAGUAAAAUUUUAUAUUCAUGCUUUUUUUCUCUUUACAUUGGGUUUGUUUGUAAUUUGCUGACAAAUUAACUAUUGAAUUACAGGAGCCGAGGCAUUUCUGUUACUGGAUAUGACCCUUCGCUCCAUGUAGAUGUUGUUAAGAGUGAUUUGACUAACCGCUUUUCUUCAUGUGGAAAGAUCACUGAUGUUUUUGUUCUUAAGAGGUUUGUUAUUUCUUCUUUACAAACCAUUUGUGAAUUGUUUUUUUCCCUCCAUCUAACCUUUUUUUUUCUUUUGCAGCCGGGCUUUGAUCUAUCUCUUCGGAAUAGGCGCAGUAGAUAUGGCGUUGAGACUAUGUCGGAGAGGUGACUCGGUACUCCGUGCUAAAGCCUUGCCAAAUCCUAAAAGGAAAAUUAACCAUUACAGGGCGUAGACGCGUAGUACAAAUCUCUCUGUUUUUGAAUAUUGUAUUUUAUAAUAUUGAAUUUUGAAUGGUAACUAAUCAUAGGAACAUUAGGAAUAUAUAAAAAAAAUAAUGAGUAGGAAUAAAAUUUUGAAAAUAAUAUCAAAAUUAACGAGGAACAAAAUUAUUCUAUAAUUUUCUACAAAAUUAACAAAAUGGCGUUUGUUUAAACCCAUGUAAACCAAGAGGCAAGAGUCAUGUUUUCUAGUAUAAACCGGAAAGAGAGUAAAGUGAAAACUACCCGAAUAAAAAACACUGAAAAUUGAAAUGCAAACCAAGAGUCAAGAGUCGUGGUUUGUAGUAAACCGGAAAGAGAGUAAAGUGAAAAACCUCACACAAGAGGAAAGAAUCAUUUCUUGGUCUCGCGGCGCUUCUAACAUUUCUUCUGUGUCUCUCAAGAAGAUGGGAUUCCUCUCUCAACAGAUCUCAAGAGAUGAACUCAAACCAGGAGAUCACAUCUAUUCAUGGCGUAUGGCUUACAUAUACUCUCAUCACGGUUCAGUCUCUUUCCCUUCCAUCUAUCUCUAUGUAGCUACAUUGCAUUUAACACUCCUUCAGUUUCUGUUCAGACAAUUCUCGCUGGAUCUUAGCUUUUUAUGUUCCUGUCUUAGAAUAAAUGACGAUCCUUUCUAUGUUUGCAACUUGUAGGAAUCUAUGUAGGCAAUGGUGACGUCAUACAUUUCACUUGCGGAGGUGGUCUUGAGACAAGGACAGGGACUUUCGUAGACAACAUCAUCGUUAGUUCGGUUCCAAACCAUGGAGGUGACAACCCUUGUCCUAACUGCGGAGACCAAUCGAAUCUCGACGGUGUGAUCUGUUCUUGCCUCGACUGUUUCCUCGCCGGAGGAAACCUCUAUCUCUUCGAGUACGGUGUCUCUGGACCCAUCUUUAUGGCUAAACCGCGAGGCGGUAUCUGCACAACAGCGGUUUCAGACUCCUCUGAUGAAACCGUUAACCGUGCGAGACACCUCUUGUCUAAUAAAAAUGGGUUUGGUGCGUAUGAUCUGUUGAGGAACAACUGUGAAGACUUUGCGAUCUAUUGCAAAACUGGUUUGAUUGUUUUGUCUAAGCUGGGGAGUAGUGGACAGGCUAACUCGUGGUCUGCGGUGCGUGGUGUUUUGUCGCUUUGGGGGACGGUGAAGAGUGUUUCUGUGGGCUCUGCUGCGAGGUUGGUUGUUUCUGGGGUUGCUGGUGUUGGUGUUGUGACUUUGGCGGCGGGGUAUGGUAACUACUGCUAUGGUCGUUUAUGUGCUGAUAUUGGUGUGAGAAGUGAUGCUAGCAAAGUUCCUGUGGAAGACCUUGUUACGCUUAUAGCGAUUAUCGAAAGAAGAGACGACAAGAAGUCUAGCUAGUUUAGCACUUGUUGUGGUGUGAUUAUGAUUGUGAUUGUGAUUGUGAUUGUGAGUGUUUGAUGGUAACUAACUGUUUGCUUCUGUUUUCAUUGUAUGCGUGCAACCAUGUGUGUUUGACACUACUUAUCAUGUGAAAAUAACAUUAUUGUUGUUUCCAAAGUAUUGGUUUACUUUGGAAGAAUGUUGAAACAAAACAAUAAACAAACACAAGUGGAUGACGAAUAGUGUUUGAUCACCUACCUACCAUUAGUUUGGCUCCUUGGUUGAUUUGGAAUUUAGUGUUAGUGUUACACUAGUCAUCAUCAGUAAAACAAUAACUAAACAAAGCUGUCCACACGAGAAGGUUUUCUGAUCAUAACCCAUUACAAUCACACAAGAAUACAACAUGCUUUUGUCUCUAUAUCUUCUUCACCACCUUGUUUAUCUGGCUGAAUAUACACGCACUGGUGUCUUUUUCUGAGUUAUCAAUAACUAAUAACUCACCAAGUUGUUAUUGUGGAUCAUAGAAUCGGCUACUUCUACUUUUGCUGAAUCGUGGAACUCUCUCUUUGUUAUUAUACAAUAAAAACACUAUAAAUAAUUAUUAUUUUUUUUAAACUUAUUUUAGAUUAUAUUUGUAAAACAUUUUAUUUUCAGUUUUUAUUUAAAAAAAGAAAUUUUAAUUUCAAGAUGUUAUAGAGUAAUCAAACUUUUUAGAUUUGAAAUCUUUUUUUUAAUUAGAUUAUUUGAUAAAUUUUACGUAUUGAAAUUAUAUAUCCUAGAAUAUUAAUGUAUUUUAGAUGUAAAAAUAAUAUUAAAAUACUAAAUUGCAAAGAGAAAUUAUAGAUAAAUUUAUAUUCAUGUAACUUUAUAAAAAAAUUAUAUAGCAUUAUUAAUUUAUAAUUUAUCUAACUCAAAAUCAUAAAUGUUUAUUAAUUUCUAGAGUUUCUCCUAAAUAUUUAUGCAAAUCACCUUUACCGGGGAUAAAUUGAUUCUUAAAUUCAAUUUGACCUUUUGACUUUUUCCUUAUCCAGCUAAGCCAAUACAAAACCAGUUGACUUUAAAGGUUUGGUUUUUUUAAACCAACAAUCUUGGAAAAAACUCUAGAGAACCCCCAUUGAUCUAGCCAGAGAUGGAAUCCAUUCUUCUAGAGAAGAUAGGAUUAUUCUCCAACAAGAUCUCUAAAGACGAUCUGAAACCAGGAGACCACAUCUAUUCAUGGCGUAACGCUUAUAUCUAUUCUCAUCACGGUAACCCAUCUCCUUCUCUCUCUUCUGGGUUUAUCAAAGAUCCAAACUUUAUGUUUGCAAUCUCACAGGAAUCUACAUAGGAGACGGAAAGGUCAUUCAUUUCACACGUGGAGGCGGUCUUGAAAUCGGAACGGGAACUUUUUUGGACAAGCUCAUCGUCAGCUCUAUUACCAAUCACGGAGGAGACAACCCUUGUCCUAACUGUGGAGGAAAGCAAUCCAACACGCAUGGAGUUAUCUCUUCUUGUCUCGAUUGCUUUCUCUCCGGAGGAGAUCUCCUUCGCUUCGAGUACAGUGUCUCUCCGGCUCUGUUCAUGUCCAAGCUCCGAGGCGGUACCUGCACGACGGCGGCUUCGGAUCCUUCGGAGGAAGUGAUCUCUCGUGCGGAGUUUCUUUUGCUGAGAAAUGGGUUUGGUGAGUACCAUGUGUUCGAGAAUAACUGUGAGGAUUUUGCGAUGUACUGUAAGACGGGUUUGGUGGUGGGGAGAAGCUAUGUGCUUGGGAGAAGCGGCCAGGCUAACUCGGUGAGUGCGGCUGCGUGUGUUGCGCGUAUGGUUAGUCCUUGGGCUAGUAAUGCUAUACGUCUCUGUUCGGAUGUUGGUAUGCGGAGUGAUGCUGUUAAAGUGCCUGUGGAGAGUCUCGUUGCUCGGUUUAAUCAGGCUGAUACAUUGGCAAAGGAGAGCUGAGUUUGGUUUGGUUCUGAUUGUGUGCAAUGUGUGUAUUUGAUUGUUGGUUAAUGCCAGAUUGAAUCUGCUUCUAAAUUCUUUGAAUUGUGUAACUCUAUUGUAAUGAUGUGUGAAUACAGUUUAAUUGAGAUCUUCAUUGUUUGUGUUGUGUAAAAAAGUAAACGCGUAAAGAAAGAGAUGUGGUUGAUUCUUUACUCGUUAUAACCACGCUUGAGACUGUCUUAUUUUUGCGUAAUCAAGAAGAAAACACGGUUUCUAAAUUAAAUUUAAGUUGAUUACUGGUUGGUUAAACUGUUCAAUUCGCAAGACCAUAAGAGUUGGAACUGUAAGCCGUGAUGACUAAUAGGUUCAGGCAUGAGGCGUAACAACACCAGCUUCUGGUCUAGAGAAAACCGUUGUUGACUCGUAGCUGAGAAAGACGGGAGAGAACAUUCAGUUCUCGGUUCGGUUUGAUUGUUCUUAAUAAAAUUUAAAGUGUGGUCUGAUUCGGUUUGCUUCUUAUUUUUGUUAUAAAAUUUUUGAGUCAAUACCGGUUUAAUUCAUCUAAUGCUUCGGUUCGAUUAGACUCGGUUUAUAUACGAGAAGACGAGGAGAGUCGAGACCACACCAGUAUAGAGAGAGAGGGGAGAGACUCUUGAUUGACUCAACAACACCUCCUUGAGAAGACGAUGAGCUCGAAGAAGGGGGAUUAGCGAAUCUCGAUAGAUAUAAAUCAUAAUCUCCAAUUUCUCAAUCCCAUUUUCAUUUUGUUCAUCGUGAAAUCAUGUCUUGGCUCCCUGUAGAAUCUGAUCCUGGUAAAUCUUUUUUUUUUUUCUAUCCAAUUUGGGGUUUAUUGUCUAAUAGCUCCUUAUUGUUCUCAGCUUCUUCAAAUAUACAUCAAGGAUUGGUCAUGUUAUAUACUAAGUAGAUAGUGUCUGUGUAAGCUAUAUUGUUUGUUGUUAUUCAUAAUGUUUAGGUGUUUUCACGGAGAUUAUACAACAAAUGCAAGUGAAAGGUGUGCAGGUUGAAGAGUUGUAUUCCUUGGACAUUACUUCUCUUGAUGAAAUAAGGUUUGUUCACACUCUUUUGUUGCUUCUUGUUUCCAACAAAACUCAGUCAAUAAUACUGUUGGGUUCUUCUUUGUUUAGUCCUGUUUACGGAUUGGUAUUGCUUUACAAGUGGCGUCCUGAGGAAAAGGAGUCUCGUGUUGUCAUCACUGAACCAAACCCAAACUUCUUCUUUGCCAGCCAGGUCCCACUCUCUCCCCCCACAUUUAGUUUUUUUUUUCAACUCUUUGGGAAUGUUAUAACUCUAUGUGUGUUCUCUUGUAGAUAAUCAACAAUGCUUGUGCUACACAAGCCUUACUGUCUGUCCUCAUGAACUCUUCGGGUAUCGAGAUCGGUUCUGAACUGUCUGAACUGAAAGAGUUCGCUAAAGACUUCCCACCUGAGCUCAAAGGUUUAGCCAUCAGCAACAACGAGGCGAUACGUGCAGCUCACAACACCUUUGCUAGGCCUGACUCAUCUUCCACCACCACGGACGAGGAUGAGAUAGCUGCUCGGAGGAAGAAAAAGGAAGAGGAAGAUGAUGAUGUGUAUCAUUACAUCAGCUACUUACCCGUCGAUGGUAUCUUAUACGAGCUCGAUGGUCUUAAAGAAGGACCCAUCAGCCUUGGACAAUGUCUCGGUGAGCCAGACGGAAUCGAGUGGCUCAAAAUGGUCCAACCUGUGGUGCAAGAGAGGAUUGACCGGUAUCUCCAGAACGAGAUUCGGUUUAGUCUCUUGGCUGUGGUUAAGAACAGGAAAGAGAUGUACCGAGCUGAGCUGAAAGAGUAUCAGAUGAAGCGGGAGAGGAUUUUGCAGCAGGUGGGUGCACUGCAAGCUGAUAAGUACACUGAGAAGAGCAGCUACGAGGCUCUGGAUAAGUCUCUUUCUGAAGUCAACGUCGGGAUCGAGACAGUGUCGCAGAAGAUUGUAAUGGAGGAAGAGAGGGCCAAGAACUGGAAGAAAGAGAACUUGAGGAGGAAACAUAACUAUGUCCCUUUCCUCUUCAACUUCCUCAAGAUUCUUGCAGACAAGAAGAAGCUCAAGCCUCUCAUUGAGAAAGCUAGACGUUAAUACCUUAAUCAGUUUUUUUUGCAAUGAUAUUAAAACUUUAUAUGUAUGAGGGUUUGAUUGUAUUCAGUCUGAGGAUUUUUGUAGAACCAAAUCUCUUAAUUACAUGAAACAAUAAAUCAAACAGAGUUACAAAACUUGUUCUCUUCUUUAAUGUAAAAACUUCUAUAAUGGCAGAUAUCUCAACUGCUGCAAUCAUCAUCGGUUUAGACUCACAAAACCGAAGAUCGUCAUAUCAUCACUCGUACCUGGUGGUUGUGAAAGAAGAGAGUAAACCGGCUGCUUGAGAUGGUAUUAUAUCCCCAAAUGUCGACAUAGCGGCUGCUGAUCUAUCCUUGAAUAUUCCAACUUGUCCGUCACUUAGUAUUGACCCAAAUCUACUACCAGCCUGAAACAUAUAUUACAUGAUCUUACGAUAUUGAACAGAUUAUGAAAAAAUAUUGAGCCACUGAUCAACCGAGGAGACUAGACUGUACCUGCAUGAAAGACUUUAAGAACGGGGAAGCCACGCCGAAACUGGAGUCAUCUUCCAAAUCACUUGUUUGAGAAAGCUCGCCAUUUGUAAAUGCAUUCCAUGAGUUUCUUGACGAACUUUCAUUUGAUGUAACUGGAGUGGAGACCUUAUUUGUACUUCUAGAGGACAGAGCCGGAGCGCUGAAUUAACCGGAUAUGAGAAACCAUUUUUCCCACAAGGCUACAAAUAGUUUCAGGUGUGGAAGAAGAAAAGCUUACCUUAUGGGAAGGUAUUUGAAGCGGGGAACUGUGGAGCAUGGCAUGAUAUUUGACUCUGAGUUACUUGGUAGUUUCUGGGAAGUAUCUGUGUACAUUCGGUUUAGUUGCACAAAGAAUCCAAAUAGUACUGCGUGGCGUAGGUAUGACUGCUUUUCGUUCUCCCAAAGAUAAGGCUCGUACCUUUUUUAGACAUUUCAAAACACAAGCAUCAGAGAAUGAUUGAGACAAUAAACGAUAAGAUGAGAUGAUUCCCAUGAACUUGUUAGUAAAGAUGUGCUUGGUCAUAGUUUAGGGAUAAGGUUCCUUACGUGAGCCAGUCUAUAGGAUCCAACUUUUGGGUCAGUUGGGAGAUUACUCCAUCAAUGCGACCUCUGUUGACUGACUUUGUUUGCUGUUGGCCCUGCUUUCGCCUGAAAGCUGAUCUGUUCAUUGUGAUCUUUGGUUGUAUCUCCACAUUGGUGCUUGUAUCACCCCCAGAAAGAAUGUCCGAUGCAAAUCUCAAAUCCAGUAAAAUUUGUAAAACCCCCUUCUCUGAAAUUUGGGGUUCGUUGGCCUCCCUGGCAGAUAAGAAAUCCUCAUAAAUAAUGAUGAUCUGCGUUGUACAAGAGAAAUUGAAAAAAAAAAUCAUUUUAUAAGCAAUCACUAGCUUGGAGAUAUUUACUGAUGAAAGUGAAUAAGUGUGUAUAGGAGAAUAAUUAUAACGAACAUUUUGAAGAGAAAAUCGUUCCCUUGGCAGAAACAUUUCUGCAGCAUGUAGAAAAUAAUCAUAGGAAAAGGAAGUAAACAGAGACAACGCACCUUCUCCAACAGGCUUGAAGCAAACUUUUGCAAAAUUGACUUAUCCAGUACAUGGCCUCCAAUUCGAUGGAUCUCUUCUGAUGCUCGACAAAGAAAUGAAAUUAUAUAGAGCGAAGGCAAGGACGGAAGUGAUAUCUUCAACUCACUCUCGCCCUGCUCUUCCUUGACUAUUGUCUCUUCCCACCCCUGCAUUAUCACUUCAAAGAGUCAGUAAUUUCCAAAAACAAAGAGAGUGAACAACUAACUAACUAUGUACAUUUUUCAGAAUAUCUAAUAUCAAUGCAAAACAGCUAAGAAGAAAGGAUAAGGAUCGUUUUUAGUUACCCUUAAAGGAGUUGUAGCAGACAGUCCAUCGUCAAUCGUAAGAUCACGCAAGAAAAUAGCGGAGAGCUCUUCCGAUAACCACUGUAUCCACAAUGUAUGAGCCUUAAUGCACAGAUCACGCAUAGUUUUAUUAAGCUCUUCAAAUUUCGGACUUGUCUUCUCAUCUGCCUUAAGUAGCGCGGCAACAGCUAACGAACUCUGCUUCCUAAGAUCGGCAUGCAACUGCUUUCCCGGGCUGUCAGCAGCACCUGGAGUAUUCGAGCCAAAUCUUGGUUGCCUCAACAAGGAUGACAACUUAUCAGAAACUGCAUUCAUAGUUUCUCUACACCACAAUCUUGGAGAACCGAGAAUCAAGGGAACGUGUUUCGAGUGGUUCAGCAAUGCAAACAAGAGGCGUCCCAUAAAAAGAGAUUUCUCAAUUAUUAUAGCAGGUGGAAUUGCUUCGCUGUCGUUGUUCCCUUUCUUCAUGGCAGCACAGAGAGAUUCGAGUUCCUUAUCCACAUCUGCGAGAAUUGCUGAGACACUGUCAUAACAUUUAUUCUGCACGUAUGGAGCAAGAUCCUUUAACCUCGGACCUGCCUUUUCUGAAUCAAAGAAGCUUAGGAGGUCUUCUAAAACAUUCUGGCAGCGGUGAUCAACUGCAUCUCUGAUUUGGCUAACUUCAGGACCAAAGUACGCCGUUAGACAACUUUGGAAGUCGCUUUCUUCAGGUGACGUUUUGUUUCCGGCAAUAAAACCAGGUUUCCUAGCGUUAGGCUCGAUGAACCAGACACCACCACCUGUAGAAGGUCUGUUUAAGUAUGCUUGGAAGUUGAUCUUCUCAUCAGUGAUCUCGCUAAAAGCACGAACCGACUCUGCCACAUUGACAGCUUUAGCCAAUUCCUCAAAUCUAGAGUCAAUAAUGCAUUUCAUUCUUUCCACAAAGGCCUCCUCAAAUAUUUCAUCCCACAGGUUCAAAUCGUCGUCCAGAACAAGCUCCCGGAUUCUAUUCCAAGGUAGCUCUAUCUCAGACCCAAAAACACUUUUAAGCCAAUCUAAACUACCACUCAAUACCUCUUUACUAUCCAUGGUCUCCCUUAUCAACUUUUCCGCUGAUCCAAGCUCUGCACCAGUAACAAUAGCUUCAAUCAAACGCUUCCCACUAACCUUACCAACAAUAUGUCCACCGCAUUCCCUCAACCAUGCCAGACACGCCUUAGAAAUAUCAACUUUCUCAAAAAUAACCAUAACAGAUUCCAAAUUAUCUCUAAACAAUUUCCACAACGCAACCUCCUCUUUCGGAUUCGGAAUCCCACCAAACAGCUGAGAAGCCGGAGGUGUACUCAAAAUCGUCUUAUAAAACAGAGGCAUAUCAGUCAACGCUUGCAAAAAAAGCUCACCAACUUGUCCCACAGUAACCUGAACCACACUCAACACAUCACAAAACACCGAAACAACACUCCCAGCAUCAUCACCACUACAAGCAUUCAACUUUUGCAGAACCCAAGUCUUCCUCGAGUCGAGAAACAACUCAAGAACCUCCUUCGGAUCAAGCUCAUCAACCACUGCUACAGCAGUUAACGCGUCCACGUAAUCCCCCAACCCCAAACCCGGAUCAAGAAGCCGUUCGUGGCUCCUCUGAGAAAUCUGAGCCUUGAAGCCCUCCACUAUCUGCCACUGAUGCUCAAGCAACGGAAAAUUAGCCAACAGUUUACUCUGAUCCACCUCCUCCAACUUAACAAGUCUCUGCUGCACGUGCUGAGCACGCAUGUACCUCCCAGCAGCUUCUAGAAACAUGGACUCGUCGAGGCAGCCCCAUAUAUUCUCCGGAGUAUCCACCAGAUACUUGACCCGACACGCGAUCCCAUACACAUUGACUCGGGCCGGGUCAGUGAUAGCGAGCGCGGGGGUUUUCGCUUCCGACGAGGAGGAGAGCGAUCGAAUGUUGCCGUGGAUCGAGCUGAUGUUCGCCGAGAUCGACUCGCAGAGCGACUUCAUGUGAACGAUCGAGUCAGCCGAGUCGAUUAGAUCUCGGUACCGAGUCCCGACGAGUUGCCGGAGCUCCUCCUUCUUGUCCUCGAUGUUCUUCCUAGUCGCCGACUCAACGCUACGGAUCUCCGACAUCGGUUUGGUGCGGAGGAGGGACUCAGCGUCUCUUUGACCGCUGCUUCCGAGCGAAACGGCGGCAGAAGCCGAUGACAUUCUCAUGGUUUGUUUUUCUCCGGCGUGUUCUCUCUAGAUUCUAGCAAUGCAUUCCACUGAGUUGAAGGAGGAGAGAAACGGAGCGGAUCUGAUCGGAUCUAGAGAUGCUUUUGCUCGGAUUCUGAAGUAGAUUCCCGGAAUCAAGAUCUAGUUUUGUAGUUUCUGUGCACUGAGUUUCUGCCAUUGCUGUGGAACGAACACGACGAGAGAUUAAGCGUUUUAACAAAUUACAUAUUUACCCCGGUUUGGGUUUCGCAGUAGAAGAAUUCUAAUCGGAAGCUAACCGGUCCGGUUUGGUAAGUCAUAGCAAGGAUCAUUAAAUCUGGGGACUAUUGUAAUGUUUACCAUAAUAAAGGGGCAAUUAGAUAAAUUAAAUAAAUAAAUUAAUGGAUGAAAUUGUUAUUGUUCUUCUUCUCCAAUAGACUUUUGCCUGCAUCUCUUCGCCGAUCACGAUCCCUCCAUCUCCGGUGAUUUCCACCGUAAACUGAUACGGUAUUUCGUUUUACUGUAUCAUAAACGUUGCAUCUCCCCGUAUUUCACAUUCCGUCAUUUACAUAGAUCUUCAAACCUAUCUAUCUCCAUCAACUCCGGCGGCUGCCGACGACGGCGUUUUAGCUCUGAUUGGCUCGAAGAGAGGAGAUCUCUAAGUAUUGCUUCCCACCGUCUCCGAAAUCUACCCGAUCCGACAUCGGAUUGGAGUGAAUUUUGACUUACAGUGAAGAGAUUUUGAGAGAAUGGUGGAGCCGGUGAACUCAUCGCUUGGGAAAAUGCUCUUGGAAGAGAUCAGUCCAGUUGUCAUGGUACUCUGCACGCCUCUUGUUGAAGAGACUUUCCUCAAGAAUGGACUAUCCUUUGUGGAAACGCUGAAGCCAUUCUGCAACUUCAGUAAUAUCGAUGGUGAUGAUAGACUUUGAUUCUUUUAUUCGUUUUCAAAGGUUUACUUCACCAACCGUUUAAACCGAGGUUUUGAUUUCUUGUGCAGUUCCUGUUAGGACCUCAGGCGAUCAGCUUUAUCGGCUGAAGAAGUUUACGCUCAGAUUGUUUAAUGCCUCAGAUAUCAAACAACCAAACGUGGAGGUAUGUAAAGCUUCUUGCUUUCUUACCUAGAACGCAACGUGGAAGAGGAUUGUUUUGUGUUAGGUGUAUGGUUGUAUUAGAAGGCUCCUCCAUUCUGCAUCUUUGGUUGAGCUUCAAAAUUGAUUAUGUUUACUUAAUGGCUAGGUUGCAAAGCAACGGCUAGAACAUGUUAUCACUGAAGCUGGGGAGAAGGUUUUUGACGAUUUGAAAUCUGAUCCUCCUCAAAUUACUGAUAUACUCUCUAGUAAGUAUCUCUAUUCAAUAUUAUGCCUUUUAAGAGAUUUUUUUCUUAUCAUACCGGGUUGCUUUUCUAAUGCUGAUGUCUUUCCGUUACUGCAGAUCCAGAGUCUGAAAUUGCACCCACAUGGUUUCAGUAUUACAAUAAGGAACUUAUCCGUACACUGUCCUUUUCAGACCAUGAGGCUUUUGAUCAUCCUGUGGCUUGUAAGACAUUAUAGAAAAUCCAAAAUUGUUGUUGUUGGCUUCAUGCUUUAAACUAGGUUUGCUAAUAGACUUUUCUGUUGCGUACGGAACAAUUCUAAAUGUGUUAUUCAGGUCUCUUGGUCGUUUCAUCAAAAGACGAUCAACCUGUAAAUAAAUUUGUAGAUCUUUUCAACACCAAUAGAUUACCUUCUUUGCUUAAUGAUGGUGUAAUGGACCCAAAGAUUUUGAAGCAUUACCUGUUGGUGCAUGACAAUCAGGAUGCCACAACAGAGAGGUAACUGUUCCUUACUACAUAGUAUAUUAUAUGAUUCUCAUUAUAACUAUAUGGCUGUCAAAUGUAAGGCUUUAGUUGACGGGAUGUAAUUUCUUCUGUAGAACGUCUAAAGUUCUGUCUGAGAUGAGAAGUACAUUUGGAAACAAUGAGUGCAACUUACUUUGCACUAAUUCAUCUAAAGAGGGGAACGUGGAACAUCAGGCUAAUCCAUGGGCUUCAUUUGUAAGCCUCUCAUCAGUAUUUUAUCCAACAUAUUGCUCAUGAUUCAUAUAUCAAUCCAUGUUUUUGUAAGUUCAACAUUUUAAUUAUUUUUUUUUUCUGAAAGAAAUCAAGUGUUUCGGCCGACAAACUUGGAUGUGCUCUCACUGGCGACGAUAUCGUGGAGGUAACAUUCGCUUUCUGAUGAUAUUCACGCCUUUCGAAUAUUUUGGAAUGUUUUAACCAACACUAUUAGUUCUCCUCGUAUAUUCGAGGUAGAUCAAAGAUCUGAUGCAAGAGUUUGCAUCGAGGCAUAUAAUUCCUUACAUGGAACAGAAAGUUCGAGAUCUUAAUCAACAGGUUAGCUUUAGAUUUUCUAAAAAGUUAAUCGUGGGAACAUGCUUUACGUUUUCUGUAUGCUUUACUUUGUUCUUUUUUUUCUCUUUCCAUAUCAUUUAGUUUGCAUUUUGCUGUGUCACUAGAUUUCUGCAACAAGGAAAGGACUUAGAAACCAAAUAAAAAACUUAUGGUGGAGAAAAGGAAAAGACGAUGUUCCGGAUUCAACCAAAGGUUCUAUGUAUGCUUUCUUGAAAUUUUUGCUCCUUUAAUGUUUUCCUUGACGUCAUCAUAAGCUCUUACUAUUUUUUUUUUCAUUUUUGAAGGUAUACAUUUAGCUCCACUGAAUCUCAAAUUAGAAUUUUGGGUGACUACGCCUUCAUGUUGCAUGAUUAUGAACUUGCAUUGUCAAGCUAUCGCUUAAUAUCAACCGAUUACAAGCUCGAUAAAGCUUGGAAGCACUAUGCUGGUGUUCAGGUAGCUUCACAGCUUUAUGAUUGUGUUUCUAUGUAGGUAUUCAGGUGGCAUUAUUUUUAAUCAAUACUCGUUUUAUAUAUAUUUAAUCUAACAUAUAGUAUAGGUUAGCCCAUCAGGCCGAUUGUUUUGGUCUUUAUUUUCCAUUGCUCGUUACUUGUGGUCGCUUCAAUAACUCAUCUUCUCAUGUAUGCUUGGGAAGGAAAUGAUGGGACUUGCAUAUUUCAUCUCAGACCAGUCAAAAAAGGAAGCUGAGUACUGCAUGGAAAAUGCAUUCAGCACUUAUCUGGUAUGUUUUAUAACCCACCUAAAACAGUUCUUUCAGUGAAUGUCUCUCGGUUACUUGAAUUAGUUUUUAUCAUAAGCAAAACUUGAAACUGAAAUAGUAAUGGUUUAACUUGAGCAAGUGACGCGGUAGUACAUGCUGUAACAUGUCCUUGUAAUCUCAUGCAGAAGCUUGGGAGGUCUGGCUUUCAAAAUGCUACGAGAUGUGGGCUCUGGUGGGCAGAGAUGCUAAAAGCUGGAGACCAGUACAAAGAAGCUGCUUCUGCUUACUUCCGCAUAUGUGGAGAGGUGCUUCUUUUAUGCCUCAGAACAUAUGCACUUUAUACCAUUUCUAACUUUAUUAUUUUUUCAGGAACCAUUACACGCCGCAGUCAUGUUAGAGCAAGCUUCUUACUGCUUCGUGUUAACUAAGCCCGCGAUGUUAAACAAGUAUGGAUUUCACUUAGUUCUCUCAGGAGACCACUAUAAAAACUGUGAUCAGGUACAUGUAAUUUUGUUGAAAGGGAUCAAGCUUCGUACAUGCUUUGCAUUCUAAAGAAUACAGUUUUUAUUUUUUUUUUCAGGUUAGCCAUGCAAUUCGUACAUAUAGAAGUGCAAUCUCUGUUUAUGAAUCAACUACAUGGAGCCAUAUCAAAGACCAUGUACAUUUUCAUAUUGGACGGUAAGUUUUAAACGUUGUGAAUGUACGUCUAAGGCGUGAUGUUUAGGAAAUUGUGGUCUAAGACUUGCUAUGAAAUUACCUUUUCAGGUGGUACGCACUUGUUGGGAUGCAUGAUGUUGCAGUUAGAAAUAUGCUCAAAGUACUGGACUGUGGCAACCAAUCCAAGGCAACCCAAGAGAUUUUUCUCAGAGACUUUUUCGAGAUUGUUAAGGUGCCUAGCUUAUACCUGCUGUUUUAUACGCUUUACUGAAGCUGCACAGAGAAUAAUAGAGUGCUUCCACUAGUUACCCCUGGUCUUUAUUCUUUGUUCUUUGACUAUGCAAAAUAACUUCUUACUUUUUGUCAUUCUGAAGAAAACUGGAAUGAAGCACGAGGUGGUGGGACUUCAACUACCAUUUAUUAAUAUGUCGUCUCUUCAAGUUAUAUAUGAAGACCAUCGCACUUAUGCAUCUCAAGCUUCUGUAAGUUGCAUACUCACUCUUUGGAAGUAUGUACAUAUUGCUACCCAUCAUAAUCUUCCUCGGAUGUUUUGCCUUUUUACUUCAUUAUGAACAGCAUAACUGAUAUCAGUAUUUCUGGUUAAUUUUUUUGGAUUAAUUGCAAAUAAUACUUGCAAAUAAAUAAUAUUUGUGCAUCCCUGAUUUUUUUUCUUUUUCAUUAUUGGUGAAUUUGCAUCUGUUGUUUACUAAUAUUAUUUACGUCUCAUGGUCAGGUUCUUGUACAAGAGAGCAUCUGGCAAUCACUGGAGGAUGAUAUCAUUCCAUCAUUAAAUUCUGGCAAGUCAAACUGGCUGGAAUUACAGUCAAAGCUACUACCAAAGAAAUACAAGGAAUCCAAUGUUUGUGUGGCUGGAGGUGAAUUUACAUCUUUUUCAUUAAUGUUGUUAGCUGCAUUCGAUGUUUACCUUAAUCAUGGAGCUUCUUCAUUAUCCUGCAUUUAACUUAUGCACACUAAUACGCAAAAUCUGGUCUACCUUAUCGUACCAGCAGGAGGACAUUUCAAUUUGAUCUAGACAUGCUUUGAUGUUGAAAAAAUGUAUAUUUUUGGAACGCCCAGCUGUGAUAAUUCUGCACGGAGUAUAAGAUUUCCUCAUUAGUCAUAUCAUAGCAUCUGUAAAUGUUAUCAGUUGUGCCUCUGCCAAGGAAGAGGGAUUUCUUAGUUUGUCAAUAAAUUCAGGCCAUAUUGUUGAGGAGGACAUGAUAUUCUGCUGUAGUAUGUUUGAAAAUGUUUGUAAUUGUGGAUUUUUACUUGUACUUCUUUGUUAUCAGAGUCAGUGAAAGUGGAUCUGGAGUUUAGGAAUCCCUUGCUAAUCUCUACUUCUAUAACAAGCGUAUCUCUCAUCUGUGAACUUACCUCAAAUUCUGAUGACCUAAAAGGUAAGCUGUUUAUAAUAUUGAUGUUCACUUUGGAAUUGUUCUACGUCCUUCGGUUUAUAGAUGUGAAACUUAUUUCAAACGUUUGGACUUUGUAAAGUUGAUAAACACCCAAGUAGCAUAAGCUUGGGGACCGAGAGUUCCGCAGAACAUAAUCAGUAAGCAGCUAAUCUCUUCAUUCAGGUUUCUUUUAACUUUGUUGAUCUACAAUUGAAUGAUUAAGCUGCAACGUCUUUACCAACAAUACUACAGGGGUACAACAUCUGGUUUUUCUUCUUUCACUUUGUCUGAAGUGGACUUAACAUUAGGCGGAGGCGAGAAAAAACUGGUGAGUCUGCUAAACUGAAAACAUAGAUCGAUUGACACGUUUUAAUAUUUUUACUCUUUCUAUAUCUGACAUUAUUCAUCUUCUUGUGUAUAUAUAGAGAAACACGUUUAAUUUUUUUUGAUGUUUCACUUGUGAUUGCUGGCUUUACCUCAUUGCUACUAACCUUGAUUGUAGUCACAGUUUUGAAUUGCCUUGGUCCUUUUUAACUUCUGACUAUUAUAUCUUCCGUUUGCUUACUGUAUCCUUUGGUGAAUCUCUGAUGGUUUUAUCAGCUGCUGUUUACGUUUGACUUAUUGUCAUAACUUUUUUCUUCUAGGUGAGACUCACGGUUACCCCCAGUGAAGAAGGUAUCCUCAAAAUUGUCGGUGUAAGGUGGAGGUUGUCUGGUUCUGUUGUAGGUGUGCAUUACUUCCAAUCUGCCCCUGGAAAGGCAAAAACUAACAAGGGAAGACGGAAAAACAAACUUACUCCCACUGAUGCCUUGAAAUUUUUGGUCAUCAAGGUGCAAACUUUUCCUCUACGGUUUAAUUUUGUAAGAUUUGCUACGACGUCUAACAUAAUGAAAUUUUGACUGUGCAGAGUCUACCCAGGCUUUUGGGUUCAAUUGAUCAUCUGCCUGAGAAAUUGUAUGCUGGAGAUCUACGUUAUCUUGUUUUAGAGUUAAAAAACAAGUCGGAAUUCCCGAUAAAGGUAGUUUUCGUUUAUGAUCAACCCUUAUCAUUCAUAUUCUCUACCGUUUAGCCAGUAAAAUUUAUUUUUGUUCUGUUAUUGUGUAUUAAUUUAGUUUGUCAUUGUCUGGCUUAUCUACUUAUUCUUGCUUGAUUACCGAAUAUUGUGAUGCACUAAGCUAUUCUCUGGAUUAUUUUUGAGCUUUAAAAGUCUGUCUGUCCUUGUAGAAUCUUAAAAUGAAGAUUAGCCAUCCAAGAUUUGUAAAUCCUGGAAAUCAUGAAGAAGAGGUGACAACGGAGUUUCCAGAUUGCUUAAAGAAGGGCCAUGAACAAAAUUUUGUGAAGAGUGAAACAAGUAGUGUAUUUUCAUUUCCAAAGGUCCGUGGCUAACCUUUUUAUUCAAGCCUCCAGGUAAAUGUGCAUGUCAGGUUAUUCUAACAUGGUUCUGAAUGUUGCUCUUUUUCAGGAUGUGUCACUGCAAGGAGAUAAAUCUUUGAGGUGGCCUCUCUGGCUUCGAGCUGCCAUCCCAGGAACGAUAUCUUUGUAUUUCACAAUAUACUAUGAGAUGGAAAAUGUAUCAAGCAUCAUGAAGUAUCGCACCCUAAGGAUGCAUUAUAAUUUAAAGGUGAUGAAUCUCUAGGCUGGUUGUUUCUACCUUCAUUAUGUUAUAGGCAAUAUUUGCAUUGACCAACCAAUCUGAACCAUUUCUAUAUCGUACAUUUUUAUAUAGGUUUUGCCAUCUCUAGAGACCUCGUUCGAAAUCACUCCCUCUCCAUCAAAGUUGCAAGAAUGUCUUGUGCGUAUGGAUAUACUGAACCGUGCGAAUUCAGAUUCUUUCCAAAUUCAUCAGUUGUCAACAGUUGGGUGUCGGUGGGGUAUCUCCUUACUUGAGCGUGUUGAUACAAUCUUACCUUCCAAGUCUCUGCUUCCCGGGCAAGCUUUAUCAUGUCACUUCAUGAUUAAGGUCGCUAUUAGCUUAAAAUGUUCAUUUAGUAGCUAGUUGGUCUUUCUCUUUUCCAUGUCUGAAAUUAGAAUAUUGUUUAAAUUUCAGGAUAACAGAAGAUCAGCGACUGAAGAAGAGAAAACCAUGUCCAUUCCUCCCAGCCAAACCGACGUAAAACUGUUUGCUCAGGAUGACGACGAAAAACUUUUUGAUAUCGUUAACUCACCUUUAGCAAGCUUCCAUGAAAGUGAAAGGUCAUGUCAAGAAACCUCAGAUCAGGUAAGCGAAAUCCUCUUUCAGGGACAUAUAUAUAUCUUAUGCGGUAGAGAUGUUUUUUCAAGGGAACAUUCAUUUUCUCUUAAACAUAGCAUCAUCACUGGUAACUUUCUAUCAUCAGAAACCAUAAUGAACUCGUGUUUGUAUGAUUGAAACAGUUAAGUACCAAUACCGUUGACUUCAUUCUAAUCUCUCACCCAGCAAAAUCCAGCAAUUCAUCAGGAGUGGCAGAUAUACCAAAGAUUCUGUCUCACCAUUCAUGUCACAAUAGGUAAAGAGUAUUCACGUAACAGUAUAUUUUCUUCAGCUUUGAAACCUAUUUUUAACUAACGUGUAAUCAUUCGAUUACAGAAUCAGGAGCUCAAACCCGCUAUCGUGGUCCCUAGACGGUCCCCAAGCCAUAUACCACGACUUCUCGACCUCCUUGUGUGAAAUUCAACUAAAAUUAGUAAUCAGAAACACAUCUGAUGGAAUAUCAUCUGUGAGCUUCAACACCAUUGAUUCCGUACAAGACGUAGCAACACCAACUCCUUCCGCUGGAAACCAAUCCGGGUGGCGCUACGUGCCAGAUAUAACAGAGGAAAUGAAACUGACUUCAGAUGUCAUGGGGAGCCGUCUAGGGAAACCUCCAUCGUCCAUGGAAAGCUCACCUCCUUUCAUAUGGUCAGGUUUAAGUUCCACAAAGGUCGAAAUCCAGCCAUUGUCAACAACGGAGAUCCCGCUGCAGAUAUCGGUUUUCGCUCCAGGUAUCUACAAUCUCUCUUCGUAUAACUUACCUGGGAGCGCUCCGGGCGUGAAGAUGCAUCAUCAGGGACAUGCCAAGGCUAUCCUUAUUACCUUACUGUUCUUCAGUCUCAGUGAACUUUCAUAGCUCUCUCUGUAUUCUGUGUAUCCAUUUUGAUGGUUUACGUCUGAGUUUUCAAUUUUGAUUGUAGCAAAUUGUUGUCAAGAAAUGUUUUUUCGGUAGGAGAAAGAUUAAUUUUACA